This 162-nucleotide ribosomal RNA is filed under the name uncultured bacterium. Its description in RNAcentral is "partial 16S ribosomal RNA". It matches the Rfam family "Bacterial small subunit ribosomal RNA", at positions 355 to 509 of the family's 1533-position model. The record is from RNAcentral.
UAGGGAAUCUUCCACAAUGGACGAAAGUCUGAUGGAGCAACGCCGCGUGAGUGAAGAAGGGUUUCGGCUCGUAAAGCUCUGUUGGUAGUGAAGAAAGAUAGAGGUAGUAACUGGCCUUUAUUUGACGGUAAUUACUUAGAAAGUAACGGCUAACUACGUGCC